CCUACGGGAGGCAGCAGUGAGGAAUAUUGGUCAAUGGACGAGAGUCUGAACCAGCCAAGUAGCGUGAAGGAUGACUGCCCUAUGGGUUGUAAACUUCUUUUAUAUGGGAAUAAAAUGUUCCACGUGUGGGAUUUUGUAUGUACCAUAUGAAUAAGGAUCGGCUAACUCCGUGCCAGCAGCCGCGGUAAUACGGAGGAUCCGAGCGUUAUCCGGAUUUAUUGGGUUUAAAGGGAGCGUAGGUGGAUUGUUAAGUCAGUUGUGAAAGUUUGCGGCUCAACCGUAAAAUUGCAGUUGAAACUGGCAGUCUUGAGUACAGUAGAGGUGGGCGGAAUUCGUGGUGUAGCGGUGAAAUGCUUAGAUAUCACGAAGAACUCCGAUUGCGAAGGCAGUUCACUGGACUGCAACUGACACUGAGGCUCGAAAGCGUGGGUAUCAAACAGGAUUAGAUACCCGUGUAGUC
This 460-nucleotide ribosomal RNA is filed under the name uncultured bacterium. RNAcentral's name for it is "partial 16S ribosomal RNA". It matches the Rfam family "Bacterial small subunit ribosomal RNA", at positions 338 to 795 of the family's 1533-position model. The record is from RNAcentral.